Myotis davidii is the source of this 87-nucleotide long non-coding RNA. RefSeq lists it as uncharacterized. The record is from RefSeq and is a predicted model, not a curated record. NCBI's taxonomy places the organism in Eukaryota, Metazoa, Chordata, Mammalia, Chiroptera, Vespertilionidae. The transcript is spliced from 3 exons.
GGUGUUGGAUUUUUUGAAUUGUUUUUAUUGUAGUUAUUUCUAUUUCAAUGCCAUUGUGAUCUGGGAAGAUCCUUAGUAUGUUUUCGA